This 972-nucleotide ribosomal RNA is filed under the name Triticum aestivum (bread wheat). Its description in RNAcentral is "partial small subunit ribosomal RNA". The record is from RNAcentral. Lineage: Eukaryota; Viridiplantae; Streptophyta; Magnoliopsida; Poales; Poaceae.
UUUUAUGAGUGGUAUGUUGCACGUUGUCCAGAUGUGGCUGUUGUUGCUUUGAAGAAUGCUCCUAAGAAUUUAAAGUUGGUUUCUUCUACUAUCCAGAAAGAUAUUGUGGAAGCUUGUGCUAUAGAAACAGUAAAGGCAAUCAUAGAUGAUCUUGGAGAUGAAUACUUUGCUAUACUAGUUGAUGAAUCUCGUGAUGUAUCGCACAAGGAACAAAUGGCUCUUGCUAUAAGAUAUGUUGAUAAAAGGGGGUUUUCAGUGGAGCGUGUUAUUGGACUUUCUCAUGUUACUCAAACAACUUCUCUUGCUCUUCAGGAAGCUAUUUAUGCAGUGCUUAAACAUCAUAACCUUAGCCCUUCUCGGAUUCGUGGCCAAGGAUAUGAUGGAGCUAGUAAUAUGCAAGGACACUUGAAUGGUUUGAAAACAUUAGUAAUGGAAGAUUCCAGGUCAGCUCACAGCAUCCACUGUUUUGCUCAUGAACUUCAGUUGACACUAGUUGCAGUUGCAAAAAACCAUGAAGAUGUGGUAUGGCUUUUUGAGUGGAUGAGUGUUGUUCUGUCCACGGUGGGAAAUUCUUUUAAGAACAGGGAUAUGCUUAGAGAAAAGCAAGCAAAAAGAGUUCAUAAUGCACUACAAAAUGGUGAACUUGAAACUGGGAGAGGUUUGAAUCAAGAACUUGGACUUAAAAGAGCCGGUGAUACUCGCUGGGGUUCUCAUUUCAAUCCUCUACUGAAUAUGAUUGUUAUGUUCCCCUCCGUAAUUGAAGUUGUUGAUGAUAAUGCACAAAAUGCCAGCAAAGCUCUAGAUAGGCUUAAAGCAAAAGGAGUUCUUGAUGCUAUUCAAACAUUUGACUUUGUUUUCAUGAUGCACUUGAUGAAGGUUAUACUCGGGAUUACUAAUGAUUUGAAUCUGGCUUUGCAAAGGAAGGAUCAAGAUAUUGUGAAUGUUGUGUCAUAUCUUUGUACAACGAAAAGA